RNAcentral lists this ribosomal RNA (516 nucleotides) under Fusarium redolens. Its description in RNAcentral is "eukaryotic LSU rRNA". The stretch from base 153 to 306 matches the Rfam family "5.8S ribosomal RNA". Lineage: Eukaryota; Fungi; Ascomycota; Sordariomycetes; Hypocreales; Nectriaceae. The record is from RNAcentral.
UUACCGAGUUUACAACUCCCAAACCCCUGUGAACAUACCUUACUGUUGCCUCGGCGGAUCAGCCCGCUCCCGGUAAAACGGGACGGCCCGCCAGAGGACCCCUAAACUCUGUUUCUAUAUGUAACUUCUGAGUAAAACCAUAAAUAAAUCAAAACUUUCAACAACGGAUCUCUUGGUUCUGGCAUCGAUGAAGAACGCAGCAAAAUGCGAUAAGUAAUGUGAAUUGCAGAAUUCAGUGAAUCAUCGAAUCUUUGAACGCACAUUGCGCCCGCCAGUAUUCUGGCGGGCAUGCCUGUUCGAGCGUCAUUUCAACCCUCAAGCCCUCGGGUUUGGUGUUGGGGAUCGGCGAGCCUUUCUGGCAAGCCGGCCCCGAAAUCUAGUGGCGGUCUCGCUGCAGCCUCCAUUGCGUAGUAGUAAAACCCUCGCAACUGGAACGCGGCGCGGCCAAGCCGUUAAACCCCCAACUUCUGAAUGUUGACCUCGGAUCAGGUAGGAAUACCCGCUGAACUUAAGCAU